This 300-nucleotide ribosomal RNA is filed under the name uncultured Paenibacillus sp. RNAcentral's name for it is "bacterial SSU rRNA". It matches the Rfam family "Bacterial small subunit ribosomal RNA", at positions 495 to 795 of the family's 1533-position model. The record is from RNAcentral. Lineage: Bacteria; Bacillati; Bacillota; Bacilli; Caryophanales; Paenibacillaceae.
UGGGAACUGUGGGCCAGCGGCCUCGGUAAUACAGGGGGGUGGAUCGUUAAGUGUAGUGACGGGGGGUAAAGCGUGUGUAGGUGGGUCGCUAAGUCGGGUGUGAAAUCCGUGGGCUUAACCUGGGAACUGCAGGCGAGACUGGCGGACUAGAAGGCGGUAGAGGGUGGCGGAACUCCGGGUGUAGCGGUGAAAUGCGUAGAUAUCCGGAAGAAAACCGAUGGCGAAGGCAACCACCUGGGCCUGCAUUGACGCUGAGGCACGAAAGCGUGGGGAGCAAACAGGAUUAGAUACCCGGUAGUC